Molecule: ribosomal RNA, 1642 nt
Filed under: Cimex pilosellus
Lineage: Eukaryota; Metazoa; Arthropoda; Insecta; Hemiptera; Cimicidae
Description: SSU rRNA
Rfam family: Eukaryotic small subunit ribosomal RNA
Source: RNAcentral
CAUGCAGUCUCAGUACAGACUAUAUUAAAGUGAAACCGCNAAAGGCUCAGUAAACCAGUUUUAAUUUACUAGAGUUAACUUGACUGUGUUUGGAUAACUGUGGUAAUUCUAGAGCUAAUACAUGCAACCAAGCCGUGACCAUUCGUGGUCAGGGCGCUUUUAUUAGACCAAGACCAAUCGCCCGGCCAGUCCAGGCGUUAAGUUGAGGAACCUAGAUGACACAGCAGAUCGCAUGGUCUUCGUACCGGCGACUUAUCUUUCAAAUGCCUGACUUAUCAACUGACGAUGGUAGACUCUGUGUCUACCAUGGCUGUUACGGGUAACGGGGAAUCAGGGUUCGAUUCCGGAGAGGGAGCCUGAGAAACGGCUACCACAUCCAAGGAAGGCAGCAGGCACGCAAAUUACCCACUCCCGGAACGGGGAGGUAGUGACAAAAAAUAACGAUACGGGACUCGAUAUGAGGCCUCGUAAUCGGAAUGAGUACACUCUAAAUCCUUUAACAAAAAUCUAUUGGAGGGCAAGUCUGGUGCCAGCAGCCGCGGUAAUUCCAGCUCCAAUAGCGUAUAUUAAAGUUGUUGCGGUUAAAAAGCUCGUAGUUGGUUCUGCGUCCCGCGCUGUCGGUACACCGUUUGUCGGUGACACUGGCAUGACGCGGGAUGUCCUGUCGGUGGCGGCGGANACCAUAUCGCCGUCGGCUAACACCGCGGCGUGUUGGCCUUCUGUCGCCGGCUCUAUCCUACCGCGGUGCUCUUCACUGAGUGUCGAGGUAGGCCGACACGUUUACUUUGAACAAAUUAGAGUGCUUAAAGCAGGCAAAAAUCUCUGCCAGAAUAGUGGUGCAUGGAAUAAUAGAACAGGACCUUGGUUCUAUUCUGUUGGUCUCCGGAACACAAGGUAAUGAUCAAUGUGGACAGGCGGGGGCAUUCGUAUUGCGGCGUUAGAGGUGAAAUUCUUGGAUCGUCGCAAGACGCACUAGAGCGAAAGCAAUUGCCAAGUAUGUCUUAGGGCACCACCAGAAGUGGAGCCUGCGGCUUAAUUUGACUCAACACGGGAAACCUCACCAGGUCAGGACAUUGGAAUGAUUGACAGAUUGAUAGCUCUUUCUUGAUUCAGUGGGUAGUGGUGCAUGGCCGUUCUUAGUUGGUGGAUCGAUUUGUCUGGUUAAUUCCGAUAACGAACGAGACUCUAGCCUAUUAACUAGACGCGUUUGGUAUCGAAUCUACCGGCGAACUAUAUUCUUCUUAAGGGGACAGGCGGCUUUUAGCCGCACGAGAUUGAGCAAUAACAGGUCUGUGAUGCCCUUAGAUGUCCUGGGCCGCACGCGCGCUACACUGAAGGAAUCAGCGUGUGCGUUCCCUUGGCCGAAAGGUCCGGGUAACCCGCUGAACCUCCUUCGUGCUAGGAAUUGGGGCUUGCAAUUGUUCCCCAUGAACGAGGAAUUCCCAGUAAGCGCGAGUCAUAAGCUCGCGUUGAUUACGUCCCUGCCCUUUGUACACACCGCCCGUCGCUACUACCGAUUGAAUGAUUUAGUGAGGUCUUCGGACUGGCGGUAAGCCCAACCGACUCGUCGGUUUUGUCGAACGCUGGAAAGAUGACCAAACUUGAUCAUUUAGAGGAAGUAAAAGUCGUAACAAGGUUUCCG